UGCAACCUAAUUCUCACACAGUAUCGUGGUAUAUAACUAUAAAACAAUUAAAUGAUUAAAUUAAAAUGCUAAUAUUUAUGUUUAAUAUGUUUUAAUAUAAAACAUGUGCUUUGGCAGAAACCAUAAAGAAUUUUUUUGCACAACAAAAAACACUAACGUUAGUUUCAUUAAGGGGGCACAUAGCAAGGAAGUGACGCUGAGGUUGAAAUAUGUUCAUGUUAAGCAGAGAGGUAUUUAGCAUGCCGCUGUGUUCUUCGGAGUUAUUUUUAAUUUAGACUAGUAAAAGUGGGUUGUUUAGGUCAUACUUUCUGGUGAUAGCGGUUUUAAGGAAACAAACAAACAAAAAGCAACGAAUGAAACAUUUUUUCAUAUUUCACAAUAGCUAUUAAAACUGUAGAUAGCCAAUGCGGGGCAGGCCGGUUCCAUGGUGUAAUGGUUAGCACUCUGGACUCUGAAUCCAGCGAUCCGAGUUCAAAUCUCGGUGGAACCUGAAUUUUGUAUUUUAUGGGUAAUAAUAUAAUUUAGAACCUACAUUUCAUGAUAAUAGUUAACAGGAGCAUAAAAAGGUCUGUUCUGAAUUAUGACUCUUCUGAAAAGGGCAAUAAUUAGCUCAAACACUGUGAUAAAUCCGUAUAACGCGUUUUUUCUUUUUCUUUUUUUUUCUUUUUUCUUUUCUUUUUUUUUUUUUUUUUUUACAAAAGAUUACAAGAUUAAAAGGAUAAAAAGGUGUAAAUAUGAUUUAGUCUAAAGUAAAACAGCAUUCUUCUAAGCAUAUCAUAAACAGGGUUUAUGAUAAAUUUAAACAUUACCUAAGGCCACUAGGGUGCAGUAUUGUGCGUAUCUUGAGUUCCACAGAAACACCAAAAUGGUUGAAAUGUACUGAACACGUGAUUGUGUAGAUAGACGUAAACAAGAAGUUGCACCUUCAUUACGUAGUUGAAAGCCAAAAAUGCGUUGCGGUGGGGAUGGGAAGUCCCCAUGAUUCACACGGACUGAAAAUAAAAUUUUGUAUGAACAAUAAGACAGAUAUUUCAGAUUUGAAAUGACUGCAGAUUCAUCUCAUAUUUACCAUAUUUACAUGUAUAUAGAUAUUUUAGUCACAUUGAGUGGAUAGUUUGAAAAUGACAAAACAUUUUAAACACAGUCCGAACCUUUUGAUGCCACCAAAGAAUUUUACAGUUUUUGCAUCAAAAGCUCUCACAACUCAUCUCACAGAACUUCAUCUAGAAAUCCAUGCUGAAUCUCUAUGAUGCUUUACAGCAAACUGUAGGACUGGACUGUAUUCAGAGCUGUAUUUUUGAUGUAUACUGUAAGUCUGCCAGUAAUGUACUCUUAUUGUUGAUGACUCAUCUUUGAAAAGAAACAUCUGUUGGACAGUUGGGGGGGUUUCCUUCACUGCGAAACGUGUUCUCAACCAGUGGGCAAUGCCUUUCAUUUGUGGCACUAUUAAAUAUUCAAAUAUUUAAGGUGUUUUCCUAUUCCUAGGUAUUAGCUGGAUAUCUUUUAUGAUGUAUGAUGCACUUUUUUGGACUUCAAAAUCAGGAGCCCCAUUCACUACCAUUAUAAAUCUUGGAAGAGUCAGGAUAUUUUUUUAAUAUA
This is a long non-coding RNA of Megalobrama amblycephala (Wuchang bream), 1599 nucleotides long. RefSeq lists it as uncharacterized. NCBI's taxonomy places the organism in Eukaryota, Metazoa, Chordata, Actinopteri, Cypriniformes, Xenocyprididae. The record is from RefSeq and is a predicted model, not a curated record. The transcript is spliced from 3 exons.